RNAcentral lists this ribosomal RNA (460 nucleotides) under uncultured bacterium. RNAcentral describes it as "partial 16S ribosomal RNA". It matches the Rfam family "Bacterial small subunit ribosomal RNA", at positions 338 to 795 of the family's 1533-position model. The record is from RNAcentral.
CCUACGGGAGGCAGCAGUGAGGAAUAUUGGUCAAUGGACGGAAGUCUGAACCAGCCAUGCCGCGUGAAGGAUGACGGCCCUAUGAGUUGUAAACUGCUUUUGUAUGGGAAUAAAAGUUCUUACGUGUAGGGAUUUGAAUGUACCGUAUGAAUAAGGAUCGGCUAACUCCGUGCCAGCAGCCGCGGUAAUACGGAGGAUUCGAGCGUUAUCCGGAUUUAUUGGGUUUAAAGGGUGCGUAGGCUGAUGGAUAAGUCAGAUGUGAAAGGUCGGGGCUUAACCCCGUGACUGCCUUUGAUACUGUUCGACUAGAGAGCAGAUGAGGCAGGCGGAAUGAGUGGUGUAGCGGUGAAAUGCUUAGAUAUUACGCAGAACACCGAUUGCGAAGGCAGCUUACUAGUCCGCAACUGACGCUGAUGCACGAAAGCGUGGGUAGCAAACAGGAUUAGAUACCCCAGUAGUC